Molecule: non-coding RNA, 287 nt
Organism: Pteropus alecto (black flying fox)
Lineage: Eukaryota; Metazoa; Chordata; Mammalia; Chiroptera; Pteropodidae
Source: Rfam
GGACGUGAGGGAGAUCUGGCUGCGACAUCUGUCACAUCACUGAUCGCCACGGUUGAUCGGCUAUCUGGCUGCCUAGGCGGGUGACUCCUUCCUCCCUCACUGCCUCAAGUGCAUCCCUCCCUUCCUCCAUAGAGGAGAGGACUGCUCUUCGGUCAAAGGCAUGUCAAGGGCACACAAGUAGCUAUGCUCCCCUGCUAGACCCUCCAGACAAGCUCGCAAAGCCUCCAAACGUUUCAAACUCAAGCCUGUGCCACCCGCAAAACCAGAACCCAAAAACUUCAACAUUU